UCUCUCAUGGUCUAGUGGCUAAGACUCUGAGCUCCCAAUGCAGGGGACCCGAGUUCAACCCCUGGUCAGGGAA
This 73-nucleotide transfer RNA is filed under the name Bos mutus (wild yak). RNAcentral's name for it is "Bos grunniens mutus tRNA". It matches the Rfam family "tRNA". Rfam says of the family: Transfer RNA (tRNA) molecules are approximately 80 nucleotides in length. Their secondary structure includes four short double-helical elements and three loops (D, anti-codon, and T loops). Further hydrogen bonds mediate the characteristic L-shaped molecular structure. tRNAs have two regions of fundamental functional importance: the anti-codon, which is responsible for specific mRNA codon recognition, and the 3' end, to which the tRNAs corresponding amino acid is attached (by aminoacyl-tRNA synthetases). tRNAs cope with the degeneracy of the genetic code in two manners: having more than one tRNA (with a specific anti-codon) for a particular amino acid; and 'wobble' base-pairing, i.e. permitting non-standard base-pairing at the 3rd anti-codon position. The record is from Rfam by way of RNAcentral. Lineage: Eukaryota; Metazoa; Chordata; Mammalia; Artiodactyla; Bovidae.